Molecule: RNA transcript, 5673 nt
Organism: Carlito syrichta (Philippine tarsier)
Lineage: Eukaryota; Metazoa; Chordata; Mammalia; Primates; Tarsiidae
Gene: EFR3A
Gene name: EFR3 homolog A
Exons: 24
Source: RefSeq, a predicted model, not a curated record
GGGCCGUCCGGCGCGUCGUCCGACGCGGAGCGGGGCCGGCCCGGGCCGCCGUCGCCGGCUUCGUUGCGUGAGGCGCGGGGUCCGCGUCCGCUCUCUCCGCCAUUCGCUUUUCGCUCCGUCCGGGUCCCGGCGGUCCGGCGCGGGCCGUCAUGGUGCCGUUGGCGCGCCCGGCGCGACCCCGCUGAGCCUCGGUGCGGCGGCGGACGCGGCUGGAGGUCACCAUGCCUACCCGAGUGUGCUGCUGCUGUUCUGCCUUGCGUCCUCGCUACAAACGCCUGGUGGACAACAUAUUCCCUGAGGAUCCCAAAGUAAUUUGAUCCACAUCUACUGACCCUUCUCUUUGCUGACCCAUCCUGCCCCCCGCUGACCUCCCUAAGGAUGGCCUUGUGAAAGCUGAUAUGGAGAAAUUGACAUUUUAUGCAGUAUCUGCUCCAGAGAAACUGGAUCGAAUUGGUUCUUACCUGGCAGAAAGGUUGAGCAGGGAUGUUGUCAGACAUCGUUCUGGGUAUGUUUUAAUUGCUAUGGAGGCCUUGGACCAACUUCUUAUGGCUUGUCAUUCUCAAAGCAUCAAGCCAUUUGUAGAAAGUUUUCUUCAUAUGGUGGCAAAGCUGCUGGAAUCAGGGGAACCGAAGCUGCAAGUUCUUGGAACAAACUCUUUUGUCAAAUUUGCAAAUAUUGAAGAAGACACACCGUCCUACCACAGACGUUAUGACUUUUUUGUAUCUCGAUUCAGUGCCAUGUGUCAUUCCUGUCACAGUGAUCCAGAAAUACGCACAGAAAUUCGAAUUGCUGGAAUCAGGGGUAUUCAAGGUGUGGUUCGCAAAACAGUUAAUGAUGAACUUCGGGCUACCAUUUGGGAACCUCAGCAUAUGGAUAAGAUUGUUCCAUCCCUCCUGUUUAACAUGCAAAAGAUAGAAGAAGUUGACAGUCGCAUAGGCCCUCCUUCUUCCCCUUCUGCAGCUGACAAAGAAGAGAAUCCUGCUGUGCUGGCUGAGAACUGUUUCAGGGAACUGCUGGGUCGGGCUACUUUUGGGAAUAUGAAUAAUGCUGUUAGACCAGUUUUUGCACAUUUAGAUCAUCAUAAACUGUGGGAUCCCAAUGAAUUUGCAGUUCACUGCUUUAAAAUUAUAAUGUAUUCCAUUCAGGCUCAGUAUUCUCACCAUGUGAUCCAGGAGAUUCUGGGACACCUUGAUUCUCAUAAAAAAGAUUCUCCACGGGUUCGGGCAGGCAUUAUUCAGGUUCUGUUAGAGGCUGUCGCCAUUGCUGCUAAAGGUUCCAUAGGGCCCACAGUGCUGGAAGUCUUUAAUACCCUUUUGAAGCAUCUGCGUCUCAGUGUUGAAUUUGAAGCAAAUGAUUUACAGGAGGGAUCUGUAAACAGUGCCAACUUAAACACAAGUUCCAAAGACAAUGAUGAGAAGAUUGUGCAGAAUGCAAUCAUCCAAACUAUUGGAUUUUUUGGAAGUAACCUACCAGAUUAUCAGCGGUCAGAAAUCAUGAUGUUCAUUAUGGGGAAAGUACCUGUUUUUGGAACAUCCACCCAUACUUUGGAUAUAAGUCAAUUAAGGGAAUUGGGAACCAGGCGGAUUCAGAUAAUGUUGCUGAGAUCUUUACUUAUGGUAACCUCAGGAUACAAAGCAAAGACAAUUGUUACUGCACUGCCAGGCUCUUUUCUGGAUCCCUUGUUAUCGCCAUCGCUCAUGGAAGACUAUGAGCUGAGACAGUUAGUCCUGGAAGUAAUGCAUAAUCUGAUGGAUCGCCACGACAACAGAGCAAAGCUUCGAGGGAUCAGAAUAAUUCCAGAUGUGGCUGAUCUAAAGAUAAAAAGAGAAAAAAUCUGUAGGCAAGAUACAAGUUUCAUGAAAAAGAAUGGGCAGCAGCUAUAUCGGCACAUAUAUUUGGGCUGUAAAGAGGAUGACAAUGUUCAGAAAAACUAUGAGCUACUUUAUACUUCUCUUGCUCUUAUAACUAUUGAACUGGCCAAUGAAGAAGUGGUUAUUGAUCUCAUUCGAUUAGCCAUUGCUUUACAGGACAGUGCGAUUAUCAAUGAGGAUAAUUUGUCAAUGUUCCAUCGCUGUGGAAUCAUGGCACUGGUUGCAGCAUAUCUCAACUUUGUAAGUCAGAUGAUAGCUGUCCCUGCGUUUUGCCAGCAUGUUAGCAAGGUUAUUGAAAUUCGCACUUUGGAAGCCCCUUAUUUUCUACCAGAGCAUAUUUUCAGAGAUAAGUGCAUGCUUCCAAAAUCUUUAGAGAAGCAUGAAAAAAAUCUGUACUUUCUGACCAACAAAAUUGCAGAGUCAUUAGGUGGAAGUGGAUACAGUGUUGAGAGAUUGUCAGUACCUUACGUACCACAAGUCACAGAUGAAGAUCGACUUUCUAGAAGAAAAAGUAUUGUGGACACUGUCUCCAUUCAGGUGGAUAUUUUAUCCAACAGCAUUCCCUCUGAUGAUGUGAGAAAAGCAACUGAGGAUUCCCAAAUUUAAUCUGACUACAACUAGAAAUCUGAACACGCAAUAGAAAAACAGAGAUAGUGGAAUUCUUGCUACUUAAUUUCCAGCUAAAGCCUUUGUAUUACAGAGAUGCUAAGUUGCAAAGCAUGAAGUCUUUUGCUUUUGUUAGUGUUGCUGCCCUAGGCUUAGCAAAGAAGCUCAUGAGCUAAAAUUAGGAAUGACCAGAGUCCCAGGUUAGUAACACUGAAGAAAUCACCUUUGAAGCACUGAAGAAAGCUAUUGAUACCAGUGGAAUGGAAGAACAGGAAAAGGAAAAGAGGCGUCUUGUAAUAGAGAAAUUUCAGAAAGCACCUUUUGAAGAAAUAGCAGCACAGUGUGAAUCCAAAGCAAAUUUGCUUCAUGAUAGACUUGCUCAAAUAUUGGAACUCACCAUACGUCCUCCUCCCAGUCCAUCAGGUACAUUGACCAUUACUUCUGGGCAUGCUCAGUACCAAUCUGUCCCAGUCUAUGAGAUGAAGUUUCCAGAUCUGUGUGUGUAUUGAGUGGCUCAUGAAGAUCUCGGCAUAGGAUUUUAAAGCCUCAACGUUAAGGCCAACCCGAGCUUUCAGGGCUUACUUAAUUGUGUGCUCACAUACUUCUUGAAGAUAGUAAUGGAACAUAUCUUUAACCAAAUGCUUGGCAUAUCAUAUUAGAAGUUUUGGAUCUAUAUGUAAUUUAGAGUACUUUUGAAGAUAGAGUCAUGCCAUGUCAAUAUGUUUUGAGGUUCCUAUUGGCUUUUAAAUUUGAACAUGUACUGGUCUCACAUUAUUCCAUUGUUAAAUAAUGUAUUUUAAACUUUUCACAAACAUGUAAUUGUUUUUUGAAGUCUGUAGAGCCUAGAAAAUGUAUGAAGUGUCUACUGUAUUUCUUAAACAUCUACACAACUGCUUAGAAAUAGAAUUUCUUAUUUUGUUUGUUUUCUACAAAAACAGACACAUUCAAAUAUAUUUCUAGUCCUGGGACUGUUCUGUGACUUUUUGUUCCUACGUCUUAGAUAAGUUGUAAUAGAUGUCCCUCUCUUCAUUCACUGUCAUAAAAUGUGAUAGACAUUUCUUAUCUUUUUCAUAGUAGUAAGAUAUCUCUUGAAUAGCAUUCCUAGAAUAUAACCCUAAAAAUCACCUUUUUUAAAAAGUGUCUGAUUCUUGUAAUACCAUGUUCCCUGCCAGGAGUUUGACCAUUCUGCUUGAGAGAUGUAGAGCUUACUCUUGGAGUACCGAACUGUGCAAUAUUUUUUACAUCAUAAGAUGUAUUAGUUUACAAGCUGUGCUUUGAAAUUAUAGUAGUAUUUUGCUGUGGCUCUAUUAAUUAAAUGAGAUAUAUAUUUAGUAUAGAAAAAAACAUUUAAAACAGCUACUAGUUCACCUGUGAGGAGUCUACAUUUUUAUUUUUAUUAAGAGCACAUUAAUUUACGGUUUUAUAUUGUGCAUUGUUUUAAAUCUUCAUAGUAAAAUAAUUCCUCAGAUGAAUUUUUAAUUUGUAACAUUUGAACUAUGACUUGUAGGAGUCUCUGUUUAGGGUUAGUUAUAUUACAUUUCAUGAGUGCCUGUGUUUUAACAUCAAGUGUGCUAAGUUUCGUCAAUUUAAGCUGCUUUUGAUUUUAGCUACCAAGAUCACGGUUGCACUUUACACGUGCACUGGCAGACCCAUACAAUUAUGUAUAUUUUAGUGAAUUCCAUCAUAUGGUAAAAUGAACAACUGUCUUUGCAACUCAUAAAAUUCUCUUAGGACAUUUUUAUAAAAUCACCUGUUUACAGUUCUACCUUUUCAGAUUUAAUUUCUUUUACAUAAAACAAUAUACAUGUCAAAAACUGUAUUUCAAAAAACAAUGCAGUUUUUGGCUUUUGGUUUUGUUUGAAGAAUUGCAGUGAAGAAUGGGUUGUUUUAACUUUAUGUUUAUGGUGACUUGGAUACCUUUAGUAGAAACAGAAAAAAGUAAGGAAAUGAUAAUAGAAAAAGCAUACUUGAAAAUUUUUGAAUAUUUAAACCAAAGUGUAACAUGUUGAAAAAGAAUCUAGUCAUUGAAACCUGUGACAUGACACGGCAACAUCCUAGCUCUUUACUAAAUGUAGAUAAACAAGAUGUUGUUUCAGAGUGACACUGGAGUCACCUGUGAAGGGCUAAAUUGCCCCAUUUCAGCUGUCACUGGAACUUUGCCUCUUGAUUAGGUAAAACGCUUCACUAAGCCAAGUUUUGUUGUUUUUUUUUUAAUUUCCCUUUCUGCCUUCUGUAUUUUUAAAGAAGGAUAUUAAUUUUUGACUGUACAUUUAAAAAAAUCUAAGCAGGAGGACAUGCAAAAAACAAUCAUCAUCCACUUGGGUGUCAUUUUAUAAAUUAACACUGUGUGCUUUUGUAUGGAAAUAUAUAUAGUUUAAUAGUCUAAGAAGAGAAAAUAUAUAUUCAUUUGCACUCAUGUGAAACACAAACUUUGCUCUACAAAAUUUCAUGUUUCUGAGUGAUUGAAAAAUGCAUGUGUCGCAUGUAUAGGAAAACCAUUGCAAUUAACGUUUACCACAUCUUUUUUUGGUCUUUGUAAACUGUUGAUUUGGGUUUUGUGGGGGUGUUGUUGUUGCUCUUAAGUCACAGUAGACUUCUGUAUAUCCUGACCCCUGAGCUGCGCCUGCUGACAAAGAUGCCCAAGAAAGGGGUCUCCCUGGCUGGCCCUUCCUUGCCUGCAGGGGAUUCUGCAGGCGCUCACUGUGCCUGCAGUACUGCUGCCAGUUCAGAUAUCAAAAGCCUAGGAUUGGUUGAAGCUCACUAUACUGAUAUUUUUGUAGGUAUACAAAACUCUUAGUAGAUUGUUAAUUAUUCUUUUAGCUGUGUGCCGUUGCUUAUAUCAUUAUUCUCUUGACAUUGAACAAUUAGCAUUUAUAUGUUCCUCUGAACUUGUGUUUUCUGUGACUGCUUCUGUAGUCAUGUUGUCGUUGGAGUUUUCCUGAGUACAUAUGCUCGCUCACACACACACAUACUUCCUCAGUACUUCUGAACUCAUUAUCUUUUAGAGGAAAACUACUACACCUUACCAGCAAUUAACUUCUCCCUCCCCAAAAUGUCUCUCUUUCUCCUGUCUGCAAAUGGAACUAAUUUGUCUUAUUCAUGCUGAUAUAUGUAUUUAAUGUAAUGAUAUGAUUUUUUUUGAAAUGUAAAAAUUCACUGUGCAAUUCAUAUGUAAGCAAUAAAACAAAAAAUCAAA